CCUACGGGAGGCAGCAGUGGGGAAUAUUGGACAAUGGGCGAAAGCCUGAUCCAGCCAUGCCGCGUGUGUGAAGAAGGCCUUCGGGUUGUAAAGCACUUUCAGUGGGGAAGAAAGCCUUGGGGCUAAUACCCUCGAGGAAGGACAUCACCCACAGAAGAAGCACCGGCUAACUCCGUGCCAGCAGCCGCGGUAAUACGGAGGGUGCGAGCGUUAAUCGGAAUUACUGGGCGUAAAGCGCGCGUAGGCGGUCUGAUAAGCCGGUUGUGAAAGCCCCGGGCUCAACCUGGGAACGGCAUCCGGAACUGUCAUGCUAGAGUGCAGGAGAGGAAGGUAGAAUUCCCGGUGUAGCGGUGAAAUGCGUAGAGAUCGGGAGGAAUACCAGUGGCGAAGGCGGCCUUCUGGACUGACACUGACGCUGAGGUGCGAAAGCGUGGGUAGCAAACAGGAUUAGAUACCCCAGUAGUC
RNAcentral lists this ribosomal RNA (465 nucleotides) under Vreelandella stevensii. RNAcentral describes it as "partial 16S ribosomal RNA". It matches the Rfam family "Bacterial small subunit ribosomal RNA", at positions 338 to 795 of the family's 1533-position model. Lineage: Bacteria; Pseudomonadati; Pseudomonadota; Gammaproteobacteria; Oceanospirillales; Halomonadaceae. The record is from RNAcentral.